AUUGCUUCUGGGCCUUUUGGCUAAGAUCAAGUGAAGUAUAACCUGCGUAAAAAUUUAUUCAUUGUAGAUGUACAGCUGGAUUUUGUUUACCAGACACAGUGUAUAGAGUAUGCCACAAUCUCCAGACAUACUCUCAUACCC
Molecule: small nuclear RNA, 141 nt
Filed under: Fukomys damarensis (Damara mole-rat)
Lineage: Eukaryota; Metazoa; Chordata; Mammalia; Rodentia; Bathyergidae
Description: U2 spliceosomal RNA
Rfam family: U2 spliceosomal RNA
About the family: U2 is a small nuclear RNA (snRNA) component of the spliceosome (involved in pre-mRNA splicing). Complementary binding between U2 snRNA (in an area lying towards the 5' end but 3' to hairpin I) and the branchpoint sequence (BPS) of the intron results the bulging out of an unpaired adenosine, on the BPS, which initiates a nucleophilic attack at the intronic 5' splice site, thus starting the first of two transesterification reactions that mediate splicing.
Source: Rfam by way of RNAcentral